This 468-nucleotide ribosomal RNA is filed under the name uncultured bacterium. Its description in RNAcentral is "partial 16S ribosomal RNA". It matches the Rfam family "Bacterial small subunit ribosomal RNA", at positions 28 to 507 of the family's 1533-position model. The record is from RNAcentral.
GACGAACGCUGGCGGCGUGCUUAACACAUGCAAGUCGAACGGAAAGGCCCUGCUUUUGUGGGGUGCUCGAGUGGCGAACGGGUGAGUAACACGUGAGUAACCUGCCCUUGACUUUGGGAUAACUUCAGGAAACUGGGGCUAAUACCGGAUAGGAGCUCCUGCUGCAUGGUGGGGGUUGGAAAGUUUCGGCGGUUGGGGAUGGACUCGCGGCUUAUCAGCCUGUUGGUGGGGUAGUGGCUUACCAAGGCUUUGGCGGGUAGCCGGCCUGGGAGGGUGACCGGCCACAUUGGGACUGGGGUACGGCCCGGACUCCUACGGGAGGCAGCAGUGGGGAAUAUUGCACAAUGGGCGGAAGCCUGAUGCAGCAACGCCGCGUGCGGGAUGACGGCCUUCGGGUUGUAAACCGCUUUCGCCUGUGGCGAAGCGUGAGUGACGGUAAUGGGUAAAGAAGCACCGGCUAACUACGUG